This 886-nucleotide ribosomal RNA is filed under the name Staphylococcus epidermidis. Its description in RNAcentral is "bacterial SSU rRNA". It matches the Rfam family "Bacterial small subunit ribosomal RNA", at positions 33 to 900 of the family's 1533-position model. Lineage: Bacteria; Bacillati; Bacillota; Bacilli; Caryophanales; Staphylococcaceae. The record is from RNAcentral.
ACGCUGGCGGCGUGCCUAAUACAUGCAAGUCGAGCGAACAGACGAGGAGCUUGCUCCUCUGACGUUAGCGGCGGACGGGUGAGUAACACGUGGAUAACCUACCUAUAAGACUGGGAUAACUUCGGGAAACCGGAGCUAAUACCGGAUAAUAUAUUGAACCGCAUGGUUCAAUAGUGAAAGACGGUUUUGCUGUCACUUAUAGAUGGAUCCGCGCCGCAUUAGCUAGUUGGUAAGGUAACGGCUUACCAAGGCAACGAUGCGUAGCCGACCUGAGAGGGUGAUCGGCCACACUGGAACUGAGACACGGUCCAGACUCCUACGGGAGGCAGCAGUAGGGAAUCUUCCGCAAUGGGCGAAAGCCUGACGGAGCAACGCCGCGUGAGUGAUGAAGGUCUUCGGAUCGUAAAACUCUGUUAUUAGGGAAGAACAAAUGUGUAAGUAACUAUGCACGUCUUGACGGUACCUAAUCAGAAAGCCACGGCUAACUACGUGCCAGCAGCCGCGGUAAUACGUAGGUGGCAAGCGUUAUCCGGAAUUAUUGGGCGUAAAGCGCGCGUAGGCGGUUUUUUAAGUCUGAUGUGAAAGCCCACGGCUCAACCGUGGAGGGUCAUUGGAAACUGGAAAACUUGAGUGCAGAAGAGGAAAGUGGAAUUCCAUGUGUAGCGGUGAAAUGCGCAGAGAUAUGGAGGAACACCAGUGGCGAAGGCGACUUUCUGGUCUGUAACUGACGCUGAUGUGCGAAAGCGUGGGGAUCAAACAGGAUUAGAUACCCUGGUAGUCCACGCCGUAAACGAUGAGUGCUAAGUGUUAGGGGGUUUCCGCCCCUUAGUGCUGCAGCUAACGCAUUAAGCACUCCGCCUGGGGAGUACGACCGCAAGGUUGAAAC